AAUAGAUACCCAGGUAGUCCACGCCGUAAACGAUGUUGACUUGGAGGUUGUUCCCUUGAGGAGUGGCUUCCGGAGCUAACGCGUUAAGUCGACCGCCUGGGGAGUACGGCCGCAAGGUUAAAACUCAAAUGAAUUGACGGGGGCCCGCACAAGCGGUGGAGCAUGUGGUUUAAUUCGAUGCAACGCGAAGAACCUUACCUACUCUUGACAUCCAGAGAACUUAGCAGAGAUGCUUUGGUGCCUUCGGGAACUCUGAGACAGGUGCUGCAUGGCUGUCGUCAGCUCGUGUUGUGAAAUGUUGGGUUAAGUCCCGCAACGAGCGCAACCCUUAUCCUUUGUUGCCAGCGGUUCGGCCGGGAACUCAAAGGAGACUGCCAGUGAUAAACUGGAGGAAGGUGGGGAUGACGUCAAGUCAUCAUGGCCCUUACGAGUAGGGCUACACACGUGCUACAAUGGCGUAUACAAAGAGAAGCGACCUCGCGAGAGCAAGCGGACCUCAUAAAGUACGUCGUAGUCCGGAUUGGAGUCUGC
This 531-nucleotide ribosomal RNA is filed under the name uncultured bacterium. Its description in RNAcentral is "bacterial SSU rRNA". It matches the Rfam family "Bacterial small subunit ribosomal RNA", at positions 777 to 1308 of the family's 1533-position model. The record is from RNAcentral.